AUUGAACGCUGGCGGCAGGCCUAACACAUGCAAGUCGAACGAGUGGCGGACGGGUGAGUAAUGUCUGGGAAACUGCCUGAUGGAGGGGGAUAACUACUGGAAACGGUAGCUAAUACCGCAUACCAUCAGAUGUGCCCAGAUGGGCUUAGCUAGUUGGUGGGUGAACGGAUCACCAAGGCGACGAUCCCUAGCUGGUCUGAGCGGAUGACCAGCCACACUGGAACUGAGACACGGUCCAGACUCCUACGGGAGGUAGCAGUGGGGAAUAUUGCACAAUGGGCGCAAGCCUGAUGCAGCCAUGCCGCGUGGAUGAAGAAGGCCUUCGGGUUGUAAAGUACUUUCAGCGAGGAGGCGGUACUCGCAGAAGAAGCACCGGCUAACUCCGUGCCAGCAGCCGCGGUAAUUC
Molecule: ribosomal RNA, 406 nt
Filed under: uncultured bacterium
Lineage: Bacteria
Description: partial 16S ribosomal RNA
Rfam family: Bacterial small subunit ribosomal RNA
Source: RNAcentral